This is a long non-coding RNA of Pygocentrus nattereri (red-bellied piranha), 1073 nucleotides long. The record is from Ensembl. NCBI's taxonomy places the organism in Eukaryota, Metazoa, Chordata, Actinopteri, Characiformes, Serrasalmidae.
UUCCUAUUUAUUUUCCUGUGUGGAACAUUUUUUUUCUUCUCUGGCUCUCAACGAGGGCGGUCGCACUUUCUCCCUCUCCUCUCCCUUAUCUCUCCUGCUUCACUUCUACAAUCAUGUAUAGUCUACUGUCUUUACUUGAGAGACUCUCUCUGUGCUGUUCUUCAAACUAAAAAAAAUGGAUUUGAUCAAAUGGUCUCUCAAUGCACUUGACACCAUCUUCUCGACGAGAAGUCUGGGUAUGGGGGAACCAGCUUUUCCUGCCGGAACAUUUGCAGCUGGCUACACAAUGGACGUGUGGGAGAGGUAGCGAGUCGUGUGCCUGGCGGCUCUUUCCGUGAGGGAUAUUGAGGAUGUCUACCUAUUCGGAACCAUGAUUACAGGUGUUUUGCUGAUUGGAUUAGGCCUUGCCCUGGUUUAUCGCGAGAUUCGAGAAAUGAGGACAGCUGUCCAUGGCCCCUUAAAGCUGCCCAACGUGAUUGGCGUGGUGGGCAGAGCUGUCAGCACUCAGACCGUGACUUUAAAUUGCACAAUGGAAAACAUGACGGAGAAGCUGGCAGCUUUGCAAAGGAAAAUGGAUUGUUUGGGAGACCAAAACAGACUUGCUCCCCGUACCAGCAAUGGCAUUGGCCACGGCCACUGCUGGAACAACAAAUUCCUCCAGAAGAACACUGCAGCAAGAUGCUCUUUUAUCCCUCCUCCCAUUUCCUCAGACUCCUGCUGAUUGUUGACUCUGCCUGGGACCCAAUCAAGGCUGUCUCCAUGGCAAUUUGCUGUGUUAUCGCUAUAACACCCUGUGGACUGAGGCACCUAGUCUGGGAUGCCAGGUGAAGAGCAUGUUUUCCCUACAGGGGGAGACUGGUUCUCUAUAUAGGAUAUGUAAUUGUCCUGGCCCGAAGUCAGUAAGGCCUUCAGUAUCCACCUGGAAUUUCAGCAUCCUAUUCAUUGUGUGUGCAUUACUGCAUAAUGUGCCAUGUUCCUGGUUAUUUUAAUGUAUUAAAUCAGCUUGCUUCAGGUUUUCCUUACAGAAACAGUGUUUUUUCUGUUUGUAAUCUGUUUUUUUUCAUGAAUAUACA